Non-coding RNA from Cordylochernes scorpioides, 75 nucleotides. The record is from the annotation of a GenBank genome assembly. Lineage: Eukaryota; Metazoa; Arthropoda; Arachnida; Pseudoscorpiones; Chernetidae.
AGUGUCCAAUGCGGGGAUCGAACCCGGGUCAUAGUGGUCAAAAGCCAAUGGUUUAGACCACUCGUCCACCGAACC